GAUGAAGAACGCAGCGAAAUGCGAUAAGUAGUGUGAAUUGCAGAAUUCAGUGAAUCAUCGAAUCUUUGAACGCACAUUGCGCCCCUUGGUAUUCCAUGGGGCAUGCCUGUUCGAGCGUCAUUUGUACCCUCAAGCUUUGCUUGGUGUUGGGUGUUUGUCCCGCGUUGCGCGUGGACUCGCCUUAAAGCGAUUGGUAGCCGGCAUAUUGGCCUUGGAGCGCAGCACAUUUUGCGCUUCUAGUCAUGAAUGUUGGCGUCCAUUAAGCCUAUACAUUUGCUCUUGACCUCGGAUCAGGUAGGGAUACCCGCUGAACUUAAGCAUAUCAAUAAGCGGAGGA
This 337-nucleotide unclassified non-coding RNA is filed under the name soil metagenome. RNAcentral describes it as "partial contains 5.8S ribosomal RNA, internal transcribed spacer 2, and large subunit ribosomal RNA". The stretch from base 1 to 120 matches the Rfam family "5.8S ribosomal RNA", at positions 35 to 154 of the family's 154-position model. The record is from RNAcentral.